AUGAGGCUGCAUGGGGAUGUGUCGGAUGACGAAGAGGAGGGUGCGGUGAUGGAUCCGGCACUGCUGUCGUCGUCGUCGCCGCCCGCCGGUGCGGCGGCGGCGGCUGCGUCGAGGCUGGUGGUGGGCUACGCCCUCACGAAGAAGAAGGUUAAGAGCUUCCUCCAGCCCAAGCUGCUCUUGCUGGCGAGGAAGAAAGGAAUUAGUUUCAUACCAAUUGAUGAGACUCGUCCUCUCUCCGAACAAGGCCCAUUUGAUAUUAUCUUGCACAAGAAAACUAGCAAGGAGUGGCAGCGGUUUCUGGAGGAUUAUCAUGAAGUGCAUCCAGAAGUCACUGUCCUCGACCCACCCAAUGCCAUUGAGCAUCUGAACAAUCGACAAUCGAUGCUUGAAGAAGUAGCAGAUUUGAACCUGUCCAGUUUCUAUGAAGAAGUUUGCACUCCACGCCAACUGGUCAUUAUGAAAGAUCCGUCCUCUAUACCAACUGCAGUUGCCAUGGCUGGGCUAACCUUGCCAUUGGUUGCCAAGCCAUUGGUUGUUGAUGGAACAUCUAAAUCUCAUGAGCUAUCUCUGGCAUACGAUGAGGCGUCCUUGCCAAUGCUUGAUCCUCCUCUGGUACUCCAGGAAUUUGUGAAUCAUGGUGGGAUCCUCUUUAAGGUGUACAUCAUUGGUGAAGCUAUACAGGUUGUCCGCAGGUUUUCUCUUCCUGAUGUUAAUACCUAUGACUUACUAAACAAUGUUGGCAUCUAUCGACUUCCAAGAGUUUCAUGCGCUGCAGCAAGUGCAGAUCAUGCAGACCUUGAUCCUCGUAUUGCAGAGCUUCCUCCGAGACCACUUCUAGAGAAACUAGGCAGGGAGCUUCGUGGUCGUCUGGGUCUAAGAUUGUUCAACAUAGAUAUGAUUAGAGAGCUUGGAGCAAAUGACCGGUACUAUAUAAUUGAUAUCAACUACUUCCCAGCUGAGGGGAAAAUAAAUGUAUCGUCGCGACAUAUCUCUGCCCGUGUAGGCCAAUUUAACAUUGUUCAAGUAGGGGUAUCUUCUCCACUACCCAAGGUUGGCUUGGCUGGGGGAUGA
RNAcentral lists this ribosomal RNA (1071 nucleotides) under Triticum aestivum (bread wheat). Its description in RNAcentral is "partial small subunit ribosomal RNA". The record is from RNAcentral. Lineage: Eukaryota; Viridiplantae; Streptophyta; Magnoliopsida; Poales; Poaceae.